RNAcentral lists this unclassified non-coding RNA (302 nucleotides) under Pholiota sp. Its description in RNAcentral is "partial contains 5.8S ribosomal RNA, internal transcribed spacer 2, and large subunit ribosomal RNA". The stretch from base 1 to 52 matches the Rfam family "5.8S ribosomal RNA", at positions 103 to 154 of the family's 154-position model. The record is from RNAcentral. Lineage: Eukaryota; Fungi; Basidiomycota; Agaricomycetes; Agaricales; Strophariaceae. RNAcentral also lists the same sequence under 2 other names.
AACGCACCUUGCGCUCCUUGGUAUUCCGAGGAGCAUGCCUGUUUGAGUGUCAUUAAAUUCUCAACCUUAUCAGCUUUUGUUGAUAAUGGCUUGGAUGUGGGGGUUUAUUGCUGGCUUCUAACGAGGUUGGCUCCCCUUAAAUACAUUAGCUGGUUGCCUUGUGCAGACAUGUCUAUUGGUGUGAUAAUUAUCUACGCUGUGGACUUUCUGCCAGUAUUUAGCACCGCUUCUAACUGUCUGUUAACUUGGACAACAUAUGACAAUUUGACCUCAAAUCAGGUAGGACUACCCGCUGAACUUAA